GCGGUAGUUCAGUUGGUUAGAAUACCGGCCUGUCACGCCGGGGGUCGCGGGUUCGAGUCCCGUCCGCUCCGCCA
RNAcentral lists this transfer RNA (74 nucleotides) under Vibrio parahaemolyticus. RNAcentral's name for it is "tRNA-Asp". It matches the Rfam family "tRNA". Rfam says of the family: Transfer RNA (tRNA) molecules are approximately 80 nucleotides in length. Their secondary structure includes four short double-helical elements and three loops (D, anti-codon, and T loops). Further hydrogen bonds mediate the characteristic L-shaped molecular structure. tRNAs have two regions of fundamental functional importance: the anti-codon, which is responsible for specific mRNA codon recognition, and the 3' end, to which the tRNAs corresponding amino acid is attached (by aminoacyl-tRNA synthetases). tRNAs cope with the degeneracy of the genetic code in two manners: having more than one tRNA (with a specific anti-codon) for a particular amino acid; and 'wobble' base-pairing, i.e. permitting non-standard base-pairing at the 3rd anti-codon position. The record is from RNAcentral. RNAcentral also lists the same sequence under 4 other names. Lineage: Bacteria; Pseudomonadati; Pseudomonadota; Gammaproteobacteria; Vibrionales; Vibrionaceae.